Mycena metata is the source of this 90-nucleotide non-coding RNA. Lineage: Eukaryota; Fungi; Basidiomycota; Agaricomycetes; Agaricales; Mycenaceae. The record is from the annotation of a GenBank genome assembly.
GCCUCUGUGGAUCAGUGUUAGAUCACCUCUCCAAAAUGAUCAGGGAAGUCCUUGCAGGAGGAGAAGUGGGUUCGGAUCCCACCAGGGGCA